GUUCUUGAAAGUGAACGAACCGAACUUAAGUUCUCCACGUAUUCGUAAAUGCAUUAAAAAAUCACGCUCACACGGAUUCGAUUGCAAUCGUUGAGUGAACAAAAAUCACGUGUAAAACGAAAUAUUCGAAGAAUGCAAGGAGAAUAUGUAUCAUGGCGACCCUCGAUUAAUGGCGGACUAAACUAUUUCACGAUCGUUAUUUAGAUUAUACAAUGAUAUCACAUUGGAAGAUCUUUGAAGAUAUUUUUAAUUCACUACUCAUUUAAUUACUCGAUAUAAUAUAGAAAUAUUUUUUUCAGCUUCACAAUUAUCAUCAUUUAGAUGUUAUAUCAUGUUUGUAUGUACUAACAAUAGUUUCAUUACACCACUUUUUCUAUAACGUUCAAUUGCAUACAAUGGUUAAUACAAGUUAUAUAAUCAUAGUACAAUAAAUACACUAUACUAUAUAUUUACAAUAAAAUCACGCACGAUUUACAAUGAUUUUAAAGAAAUUCUUUUGUGGCAAAUGUAGUUGAGAUGAAGGAACGAAUACUGACAUGUAAUCAAAUUUUAACUUCCUAUGAGAUGAGCGUAAAACUAGCCAAUCAGAAAAGAGUUUCACUACUCU
Molecule: long non-coding RNA, 607 nt
Organism: Bombus pyrosoma
Lineage: Eukaryota; Metazoa; Arthropoda; Insecta; Hymenoptera; Apidae
Exons: 2
Source: RefSeq, a predicted model, not a curated record